RNAcentral lists this ribosomal RNA (497 nucleotides) under uncultured bacterium. RNAcentral describes it as "partial 16S ribosomal RNA". It matches the Rfam family "Bacterial small subunit ribosomal RNA", at positions 28 to 507 of the family's 1533-position model. The record is from RNAcentral.
GAUGAACGCUGGCGGCGUGCCUAAUACAUGCAAGUCGAGCGAACGGACGAGAAGCUUGCUUCUCUGAUGUUAGCGGCGGACGGGUGAGUAACACGUGGAUAACCUACCUAUAAGACUGGGAUAACUUCGGGAAACCGGAGCUAAUACCGGAUAAUAUUUUGAACCGCAUGGUUCAAAAGUGAAAGACGGUCUUGCUGUCACUUAUAGAUGGAUCCGCGCUGCAUUAGCUAGUUGGUAAGGUAACGGCUUACCAAGGCAACGAUGCAUAGCCGACCUGAGAGGGUGAUCGGCCACACUGGAACGGAGACACGGGCCAGACUCCUACGGGAGGCAGCAGUAGGGAAUCUUCCGCAAUGGGCGAAAGCCUGACGGAGCAACGCCGCGUGAGUGAUGAAGGUCUUCGGAUCGUAAAACUCUGUUAUUAGGGAAGAACAUAUGUGUAAGUAACUGUGCACAUCUUGACGGUACCUAAUCAGAAAGCCACGGCUAACUACGUG